GAAUAUAUCAGAAAUCUAAACUUAGCCAACUCUCCCACAGGUCAGUACAUAGCAAUUUAUAUAAUUUGGGGGAAAGACAAAAGGUAACAGUUUGAACAGAGAAUCUAAAUCAUAUAAAGCAGUUGGAUAUUAUAUCUAUAGGUAUGUGUUUGAAUAUGUUUAUUUCUGGUCAUCCUCUGCUAUAACCCUGAUACUGGCUUUCAGAAGAGACAAUUCAGCCAAUCUAUAUGUUGCAUCAUUUUUAAUCACCUACUAGAUACUGUAGUAAAAAUGAUUGGGCAUUUAAUUGCUUUAAGAAUAUUCAUUCAUUGAUGUGUUUACUCACUUAUGCUCAUUCUUGUUCCAAAAAGGAUCUGAGGAGACCCCCAAAGAUAUAAAUGAUAGAUGAACAACUAAAAUUUAGAAAGAGAUGGGAAUCAAAGAAAAGGGAAUUAAGGGUAGGAAAGUGAGAGGAAGCUAUUCGCUCUUAAAAAAUCCAUGAAACAGAAGAUGUACACCUUCCUGGCAGAGAGAGCUCCUAGUGUGAAAGAUUUUUUUCAGAAAUGUUCUGACUUGUAAAGUAUGAGGUAUUUGAACUGAGUGUGGAGUUGGUGGCAAAAAUAUUGUACUCUUUUACUAGGUCAUGACCCCCCAAAAUGGACAGGAGAGCUCGUAUACAAACAAGAUCCCCAUAGGAACGUGAUGGCCAGAAGACAAGGUUCACAGGCAGGAGUUACAGCAGCUAUCUGGAGUGGAUGACAGAAUGGCUGCUUGAGAGGCACCGGAUAUUUUAAUGGUGAAGACUUAUGCAGAGGCUGUAUUUCACUUACCAUCAGAUCAUGCGUAGAACUACAUGUUCAGAGAGGAUUGUUGGAACCUCAGUAACAGCAGUUUCAUUGAUGUAGAAGAGCAGAAGUCAUUUGGAAGUGAUCCAAGAAAGAGACGGAAGAAAGAGAAUGAAGCUG
This is a long non-coding RNA of Lagenorhynchus albirostris (white-beaked dolphin), 944 nucleotides long. RefSeq lists it as uncharacterized. NCBI's taxonomy places the organism in Eukaryota, Metazoa, Chordata, Mammalia, Artiodactyla, Delphinidae. The record is from RefSeq and is a predicted model, not a curated record. The transcript is spliced from 3 exons.